UUUAAUUGAAGAGUUUGAUCAUGGCUCAGAUUGAACGCUGGCGGCAGGCCUAACACAUGCAAGUCGAACGGUAGCACAGAGAGCUUGCUCUUGGGUGACGAGUGGCGGACGGGUGAGUAAUGUCUGGGAAACUGCCCGAUGGAGGGGGAUAACUACUGGAAACGGUAGCUAAUACCGCAUAACGUCUUCGGACCAAAGUGGGGGACCUUCGGGCCUCACACCAUCGGAUGUGCCCAGAUGGGAUUAGCUAGUAGGUGGGGUAACGGCUCACCUAGGCGACGAUCCCUAGCUGGUCUGAGAGGAUGACCAGCCACACUGGAACUGAGACACGGUCCAGACUCCUACGGGAGGCAGCAGUGGGGAAUAUUGCACAAUGGGCG
RNAcentral lists this ribosomal RNA (380 nucleotides) under bacteria symbiont BFo1 of Frankliniella occidentalis. RNAcentral describes it as "bacterial SSU rRNA". It matches the Rfam family "Bacterial small subunit ribosomal RNA", at positions 1 to 377 of the family's 1533-position model. The record is from RNAcentral. Lineage: Bacteria; Pseudomonadati; Pseudomonadota; Gammaproteobacteria; Enterobacterales; Erwiniaceae.